AACGAACGCUGGCGGCAUGCCUAACACAUGCAAGUCGAACGAGACCUUCGGGUCUAGUGGCGCACGGGGGCGUAACGCGUGGGAACCUGCCCUUAGGUUCGGAAUAACUCCCCGAAAGGGGUGCUAAUACCGGAUAAUGUCUUCGGACCAAAGAUUUAUCGCCCUUGGAUGGGCCCGCGUUGGAUUAGCUAGUUGGUAGGGUAAAAGCCUACCAAGGCGACGAUCCAUAGCUGGUCUGAGAGGAUGAUCAGCCACACUGGGACUGAGACACGGCCCAGACUCCUACGGGAGGCAGCAGUGGGGAAUAUUGGACAAUGGGCGAAAGCCUGAUCCAGCACUGCCGCGUGAGUGAUGAAGGCCUUAGGGUUGUAAAGCUCUUUUACCCGGGAUGAUAAUGACAGUACCGGGAGAAUAAGCCCCGGCUAACUCCGUG
RNAcentral lists this ribosomal RNA (433 nucleotides) under uncultured bacterium. RNAcentral describes it as "partial 16S ribosomal RNA". It matches the Rfam family "Bacterial small subunit ribosomal RNA", at positions 29 to 507 of the family's 1533-position model. The record is from RNAcentral.